GUGUUAUAAAAAAAGGGGGGAGGUUGGGCACCCCCUUGAAAAGGGAAAGGAAGAGCCCUUCAUGGUUUAAAAACCAAAUGAGGCUUGCCCCCUUUUUAUUUUGAGGGCAGCUUAUAUUUUUA
Mercenaria mercenaria is the source of this 122-nucleotide small nuclear RNA. The record is from RefSeq and is a predicted model, not a curated record. Lineage: Eukaryota; Metazoa; Mollusca; Bivalvia; Venerida; Veneridae.